This 351-nucleotide ribosomal RNA is filed under the name bacterium HLGT. Its description in RNAcentral is "bacterial SSU rRNA". It matches the Rfam family "Bacterial small subunit ribosomal RNA", at positions 1069 to 1419 of the family's 1533-position model. The record is from RNAcentral.
GAGAUGUUGGGUUAAGUCCCGUAACGAGCGCAACCCUUGUCCUUAGUUACCAGCACGUUAUGGUGGGCACUCUAAGGAGACUGCCGGUGACAAACCGGAGGAAGGUGGGGAUGACGUCAAGUCAUCAUGGCCCUUACGGCCUGGGCUACACACGUGCUACAAUGGUCGGUACAGAGGGUUGCCAAGCCGCGAGGUGGAGCUAAUCUCACAAAACCGAUCGUAGUCCGGAUCGCAGUCUGCAACUCGACUGCGUGAAGUCGGAAUCGCUAGUAAUCGCAAAUCAGAAUGUUGCGGUGAAUACGUUCCCGGGCCUUGUACACACCGCCCGUCACACCAUGGGAGUGGGUUGCA